Molecule: ribosomal RNA, 253 nt
Filed under: uncultured bacterium
Lineage: Bacteria
Description: partial 16S ribosomal RNA
Rfam family: Bacterial small subunit ribosomal RNA
Source: RNAcentral
UACGUAGGAGGCAAGCGUUAUCCGGAUUCACUGGGCGUAAAGCGCGUGCAGGCGGUUCGGUAAGUUGGGCGUGAAAUCUCCUGGCUCAACUAGGAGAGGUCGUUCAAUACUACCGGGCUAGAGAGUGGUAGAGGAAGAUGGAAUUCCCGGUGUAGUGGUGAAAUGCGUAGAUAUCGGGAGGAACACCAGUGGCGAAGGCGAUCUUCUGGACCAUUUCUGACGCUCAGACGCGACAGCUAGGGUAGCAAACGGG